CAAGGCAGCCACGCCAUGGGCUGGGAGGAGCAUCACCACGCCAGCACUGCUAAUGCACGGAUGAGUUGUCCUUGUGCCUUUGACACCGUGUAGGAACCCCUGUAAUGACAAUGAACGGAGGGGUGGUGCCACUGCUGCAGGUGACAGAGCGGUAGGCUUUGAAGCUUCUUGUGUAUGAACUUGAACUUCCAACCAGGAUUGCAAAAACAGUAAGAAAAAAAACCUAAUGGUGGUGUUUUGUGCUAGAACAUACACAACUCCCAAAGAGUUUGCAGAUUGUACUGAAUCAGCACAAAAGUUACCAAAAAUAUUCUGAGUAUUUUGGAUGUGUAUCUACUGAAAGUAUGUUGUACUGUCACGGUUGCUCUUUCUCUAAAGCAUGGGAAAGUACAUAAAGGACAGUAUUGCUUCAUCUGCCUCAAUCACUGUGGCGUCUGACGUGAGCAGAAUGGGGCUUGGGGACACUGAGGAGUAAGAGGAAGGAAGGAAAACAGCUUCUUCAUUUCUUUCCAGAUCAGGGUGGUGGUGUUGUCUUGGGUGUUGCCCUUGAGGAGUGGCUGCGUUGGCAUCCCGAAGAACAACAGGCUCAGAUUGCUUGCCAGUUUUAGCAAUCAAUUACAGCUAAAUGCAAAGACAUCUGCAGAUCCAAUGUUCCUUUCAAAUAUUCAUCCUCCCAGCGGCUCUACAAGGUGCUGCUCUCCCUAGUUUACAUGGAAACAGAUGCUCAGAGGAGUGGAAAAGCUUUCCUUGUGAAACUUUUCACAAUUUCCAUUUUAAUGGCUGUCCAGGCUCUUACCAUCUUCAAAAACAAACAAGAAAACAGCAGUGUAAAGAAACAGCAACAGACAGGGCUGUGAUGGCUUCUCUGCCAACUGUCUCACCGCCCUCAAGCAAUUGCGAAGGAGCUGCUCCCUGUACCCAGUGGAAGAUGUCUGCACCGCCUGUGCCUGCUGUGGCUUCACCCAGGAGGCUUGGAGCAGCCCAGCCCUAGCCCGAGGUGUAUUUUCUGCCCAAGAGCUGAUACUGGAUGUCUCAUCACCAGUGUCUCAGCCCAGCAUUUUGUGCCGAUUCAGCUUUACAGGACUGUGCAGUGUAUUUCUUAAUCUGUUGUGUCAGUAGGCAUAAACUGGCUGCCCCAAAGCUGAAACAGAGGCUUUCUUCUUUUGCCUGGAUUAACUGUUUCAUGAUGAGUUUAACUUUAGUACAAAUAGAUAUUAUAAAUGCCUAGUAUUUGCAUCUACAUGGUACUCUGCCAGUCCCAAAGCGUGAUAGGAAUUGGUAUUUGAGGGGUACCAAUUCAUAUUUUUUUCUUACAUGAGGUGAACUACAGUGGUACUUACAAUAGCAGUGAGGGGAGGAGGAAGCACGAUGAUGAAGCUCUAUAGGAAGGACGCAAGACUCCCUUUUUGGAAAGCCCCUGCACUUUAGUUCUUCAAUUAAUCCACUAAUUUUUAUCACCAAGUCAGCCUACACCUUCAUUUUAUUAAUACAGACUAAGAGAAGCUUCACACUGUAAGAAUAUUAUGUUUAGAGAUGCCAACAUCUGCAGAGCUACAGCGAGGCUUAAAUCAAACUUUUAGUGGCAAGAGUGUAUGGCAGCAGCACUGUAAUUAUUUGGCAUUUGUCUGCAGUGCCUCCCUGCCUUCAAAACACUUUUCACAGGCUGUCAACAAGUCUUUGUGUUUGUGUUUGGCUUGGCAGUGACUCUCAAAACUGGGCGAGUAAGUGAGGAGGAGCCCGUGCACAAGCCCAGUCGUAUGCAGCUUUGCUCAGUCUUCUGUGAUCUCUCAUCUGAUAACCUUCAAAGCCCUGCCUUUCCCUGCAUUUCACUCACUGUUUGUACAUUAUCACUACUGACUUAAAAGAAAGGAUCUCUUCAGAUUACAUUAGCUGUACUACUGUUUCUAAUAGCAGAACAGCUCCUAUAUUUACAACAGCAGAACACUGGUCUUGGGCAAAUAGAUUAUUCACUUAAAUAAACAAAUCAGAUCUCAGCUUGACUUUAAACUCUCAGGUUUGUCAUUUGUGAAUAUAUUCAUCCACUAAAAAAUGAAAUAACUAAAAUGUUGUAUCUAUACUUUUGAAAUAAAGCUAUUUAAUUUCAAGAUUUGAUUAUUUUAAAAUCUGAAAAAAAAAAAAAAAAAAAAAAAAAAAAAAAAAA
Anas platyrhynchos (mallard) is the source of this 2161-nucleotide long non-coding RNA. RefSeq lists it as uncharacterized. Lineage: Eukaryota; Metazoa; Chordata; Aves; Anseriformes; Anatidae. The record is from RefSeq and is a predicted model, not a curated record.